AGAUUGAACGCUGGCGGCAUGCUUUACACAUGCAAGUCGAACGGUAACAGGCCGCAAGGUGCUGACGAGUGGCGAACGGGUGAGUAAUGUAUCGGAACGUGCCCAGUCGUGGGGGAUAACGCAGCGAAAGCUGCGACUAAUACCGCAUACGAUCUAUGGAUAGAAAGGCGGGGGACCGUAAGGCCUCGCGCGAAUUGGAGCGGCCGAUAUCAGAGUUAGGUAGUUGGGUAGGGGGUAAAGCUACGAACCAAGCCAAGA
Molecule: ribosomal RNA, 258 nt
Filed under: uncultured soil bacterium
Lineage: Bacteria
Description: partial 16S ribosomal RNA
Rfam family: Bacterial small subunit ribosomal RNA
Source: RNAcentral